Molecule: long non-coding RNA, 1572 nt
Filed under: Mytilus galloprovincialis (Mediterranean mussel)
Lineage: Eukaryota; Metazoa; Mollusca; Bivalvia; Mytilida; Mytilidae
Source: RNAcentral
UAGCAAUCACCAUGCCUGAAAAAUUUGUAAAGCUAGGUAAUUAUAUCUGAAGCUUUGUUUUUGUAAAAAUACUUUCAAAUACUUCAUUAAUAAGAACUACACUUCUUCUUAAUUCUUUCCUCCACUAUCUGGAGUACCACUACUUUUGUAGUGUAGCACGGAUAAGCAACUGAUUGAUACUAUAAGCCACUGUGUGCAUGUGCAGGAAUAUUUUACAGUAAAUAAGAUCGGUGCACAAACCAGUAUUAUUUCGCCUAAAGUUAAUUGUUUAAUAUACUGGUGUAAAGGAUAUAAACACAUCCUGGCGUACCCACCACCAAUUUACAACGCAACGGCAGUUGGUCUUGUCCAAAAUGAGCUAAGGCUGCGAUCCCAGCUGGGUGCUCAAUUAAAACAUAAACUUGAGUGUUAUUAAAAUAACUUCAUGCAAAAUCACUUUUGUACAAGUGCAGGAAACUGUUCCAUCACCAUAUUAUAUACAUUUGUACUCCAUUUAAGGCACACAUGUUAUUAUGUCAAUUAUACACUUAUCAAUGUAUAUUACUUUAAAAGUUCAUGCACUGUUUACACUAAUAUUUUCUACCUCUAAAGAAAUAAAACACUACAUACUCAAGUACGUGCAUUACUUUCUUGUAGAUACAUCUGUUUGUUAUUUACAGUCCCCUUUAUCAUUAAACAGUUAAAGUUGCAAUUUUGUCAUUUAUAAUUUUCAGAUCAAUUUUGCACAUCUUGGAGAGAAAGUAAAACAAACAAUGGAAUGUAGCAAAGUGGACAUUAUUCCUGAUGAGUGCUGAAUAUGAAGAUUGUUUGAACGGCGGUAUACAACUGCAUGUUGCCUUUAUUUGAUAAAUUUACUGAUAGGAUAAAUCUAUAAUUGUUUAUUUUAAACUGACUUUGAAAUAACCAAUAGAAUUUCCAUAACAACAUGUACAUGUAGUUUCUUCCAUUUUCAAGCUGAUUUAAUCAUUCAUAAUGUACGUGAUCAAGAACAGAAUCCUCUAUAAACUGGUGGUCCCAAGAUUUGACAAUCAAAUAUUUUAAAGGACUUAUAUAUGGCUGGUUAUUUUUUGCAAUAGAAAUUAUAGAUCAUUAUAGUGAGAGUAGGUUUUCUUGUAGGAACAUCAGGAAAAAAUAUUUCCAAGAACUCUAGUCUGCAAGCAUGCAUUCCACAACUCACUGGUCAGUGAUUUUUUGGUAUUUCAGAUCAUAGAAAAUUGCCAGAUAUUAUGAUGAUCUUAUCAAUUAAAGAUAUAUUACCGUAGCUAUCUUUUUUUUUUUGUUCUAACCACAACCAUAUUUGGCUAUGAGUGAAUAUAAUUUCAUUUAUUCAUAAUUUCUAUUAUUCAUUAUUUUGCAACCCUGCAAAUUAAAACAGAUCUGGAGACAUUGUUCAUUGUAUACUUAUUAAAAUUUACUUUUUAUAAUGAUAAAUUGUUACUCAUAAAAUUUUAUAGUUUUUUAACUAAUGAUUAUUCCAUUAUUGUAUUUUCUAGCACUUCUUUUUAACAUGAUGGAGUUGCGAAAAUUUACCACUGUUCUAUGGACAACUGAAGGAGAAUAAUUUCAUUUGUC